GGGGGAUUAGCUCAGUUGGCUAGAGCGCUUGCUUUGCACGCAAGAGGUCAUCGGUUCGACUCCGAUAUUCUCCACAA
RNAcentral lists this transfer RNA (77 nucleotides) under Flavobacteriales bacterium. RNAcentral describes it as "tRNA-Ala". It matches the Rfam family "tRNA". Rfam says of the family: Transfer RNA (tRNA) molecules are approximately 80 nucleotides in length. Their secondary structure includes four short double-helical elements and three loops (D, anti-codon, and T loops). Further hydrogen bonds mediate the characteristic L-shaped molecular structure. tRNAs have two regions of fundamental functional importance: the anti-codon, which is responsible for specific mRNA codon recognition, and the 3' end, to which the tRNAs corresponding amino acid is attached (by aminoacyl-tRNA synthetases). tRNAs cope with the degeneracy of the genetic code in two manners: having more than one tRNA (with a specific anti-codon) for a particular amino acid; and 'wobble' base-pairing, i.e. permitting non-standard base-pairing at the 3rd anti-codon position. The record is from RNAcentral. Lineage: Bacteria; Pseudomonadati; Bacteroidota; Flavobacteriia; Flavobacteriales.